GCUUUUUUUAAAUCAUCGCUCUCUACGCAUGGCCAGCUCAUCUGCAAAUGGUCGUCUCCCUCUCUUCCUCGAAUGCCAUUAAAAACCUCGAACGGGCUCUGAAAACUGUUCCAUAGUUCCCCCGCCCCAUUAGAAAUGAAUGGAAGGGCCUUCGUUUUGAUAUUUUUCUUCUGGGCUGUGCUCACCGUCGUCACCCCAACUCUUAUCAUCUUGUCUGCAUCCGCAAAAUCCAAUUUUAACUCAAAUGGGGAGAAGAGCAGUGGAUUGAAAGCCAGAAGAAUGAUGGGUUCUUUAGAGGGAGAACGAAUCAGAAGAGCAUUAGCGGCUCCGGCACCGGCACAGGCACCGGCACCAGCACCAUCUCCAAGACAUAGAAUAAUUGUUUUAACAAAGUUUUGGCAUGGAAAAGAGACGUAAAAUUAAUCAAGGCAGGGCUGUAAAUAUAAAUUUCUUUUUGUAGCUUAAAUGAAGGCUUCAAAUUCCUUGCAACUGCGUUCUGACUUUCAAUUUCUGUUUGGAUUAGCACUGUUCAAGUACCACUCCUACUGUAAUCAUAAUUCAUGAGCACCGUUUCCUC
Nelumbo nucifera (sacred lotus) is the source of this 577-nucleotide long non-coding RNA. RefSeq lists it as uncharacterized. NCBI's taxonomy places the organism in Eukaryota, Viridiplantae, Streptophyta, Magnoliopsida, Proteales, Nelumbonaceae. The record is from RefSeq and is a predicted model, not a curated record.